Diachasmimorpha longicaudata is the source of this 909-nucleotide long non-coding RNA. RefSeq lists it as uncharacterized. NCBI's taxonomy places the organism in Eukaryota, Metazoa, Arthropoda, Insecta, Hymenoptera, Braconidae. The transcript is spliced from 3 exons. The record is from RefSeq and is a predicted model, not a curated record.
UCGUAGAAAUUAUAAUAAUACAUAUAAAUGUCUCAAGAACAAAAAAAAAACAAGAAAUUGAGAGAAAACAUCCGGAUUAAUACUGUCGUACAGUUCAUGGCCAUCCAGCCCGACUCCCGGCGUGGAUCGAUAAAAAGUAAAUCACUCUGUACUCAACAAUCUAUUUUCCUUUGACGAUAAACAAGCGAACAGUGAUAUACAUGCAUUUGUUGAUCUAUCUGCAAUCGAAAAAGCGUCGGGUACACCCACGUUCGUCAGAGCGUAAGCCGCAAAGGAGGUUGUUGGUGCUGUUGGAGAGUGCAGUGUUUGUAGGAGUUAUGUUUUUCCAUUAAGAUCACUCGGCUUUGCUGGUCAAGAACAGUUGCAUUUACCUUAAUUAUAAUUUAUGCAGAGUAUUCUCGAUCUAUUUGGGCCCCAUUUCCUAAGGCCCAUGUGUGGAGCGGAAGGCAGAUGACGGAGUAAGAGAUAAUCAACAUGUUUGUCACUUUCCCUGAAAAUGUUUUCGACCUGCCGGCGAGAUUUUUAAUGCGGCUAUUGUGGUUUAUUGGGUUUUUUUAUCGCCGAGAGAUUACUGGGAUUUCGCAAUAAUACGAAAUUCGUACUUUUUUUAUUUUAUUGGGAAUUAAUGGGAAGGUAUGAAAAUUAUUCUCGUGGGAACUUUUUUCUGGUAAAAUAAAAACUUGUGAAAUAGAUAAUUAAUUACAUAUGAUUCAUUGAUUUUACGACUAAUUAAUUAACUGAUCGAUCGUCCAAAUUCAAUUGAAUAAUUACGAAACAUCGGUUUGUUCUUACUAUUAAUAUAUAUAUUUCUCUUCUAUUUUAAUUUUUACUAAUUACAUUAGUAAUAUGCAAAUUUAUCUUCUCAUGAACUGUGACAUUAAUAAACAAAUUAAACAUAAGAAAAAUACU